Molecule: ribosomal RNA, 196 nt
Filed under: uncultured bacterium
Lineage: Bacteria
Description: partial 16S ribosomal RNA
Rfam family: Bacterial small subunit ribosomal RNA
Source: RNAcentral
AUCGUACGGGAGGCAGCAGUGGGGGGUAUUGCACAAUGGGCGGAAGCCUGAUGCAGCGACGUCGCGUGAGGGAUGGAGGCCUUCGGGUUGUGAACCUCUGUUUCCGGUGGUGAAGGCCCCGCCCUUGGUGGUGGGGUUGACGGUAGCCGGGUAUGAAGCGCCGGCUAACUACGUGCCAGCAGCCGCGGUAAUCGAU